UUGUUGCAGUUAAAAAGCUCGUAGUUGGACUUUAGGCAAGGCGGCCUGGUCACCCUCUGGGUGUACUGGGAUCGCUGCGCCUCACCUUCGGGGAGCUAGUCGUGCUUCGGUGCGCUAGGGAACCGAGCCUUACCUUGAGGAAAUUAGAGUGUUUAAAGCAGGCUUAUGCUUGAAUACGUUAGCAUGGAAUAACAUGAUAGGACUUUGGUUCUAUUUUGUUGGUUUGAGGACCAAAGUAAUGAUUAAUAGGGACAGUUGGGGGCAUUAGUAUUCAAUAGUCAGAGGUGAAAUUCUUGGAUUUAUUGAAGACUAACUAAUGCGAAAGCAUUUGCCAAGGAUGUUUUCAUUAAUCAAGAACGAAAGUUAGGGGAUCGAAGACGAUUAGAUACCGUCGUAGUCUUAACCAUAAACUAUGCCGACUAGGGAUCGGUGGAAGUCGAUUUUGACUCCAUCGGCACCUUACGAGAAAUCAAAGUUUUUGGGUUCUGGGGGGAGUAUGGUCGCAAGGCUGAAACUUAAAGGAAUUGACGGAAGGGCACCACCAGGAGUGGAGCCUGCGGCUUAAUUUGACUCAACACGGGAAAACUCACCAGGUCCGGACAUGGGAAGGAUUGACAGAUUGAGAGC
This 627-nucleotide ribosomal RNA is filed under the name uncultured eukaryote. Its description in RNAcentral is "SSU rRNA". It matches the Rfam family "Eukaryotic small subunit ribosomal RNA", at positions 610 to 1255 of the family's 1831-position model. The record is from RNAcentral.